AUUAAAUUUAUACUUUAUUACCACUAAAUCUAAAAUUUACAAUUAACGUGAAAAUGCGUUAGAAUAAAAAAAAGACCAAAAGACCCUGGGAGCUUUAAUUUUAUAGCUCUCCCUCUCUAAAAAUUUUUGUUGGGGGGACAUAGAAAAUACCUUCUUUAUUACAAUACCCAUACCUUUAAAAAUUUCGACAUAGCUACCCCAGGGAUAACAGGCUACUCUUUUUUAAAAGUUCACAUUUACAAAAAGAUAUAGCACCUCGAUGUUGGCUUAAGAGUACGUAAAAUGCAACAGUUUUACUUAAUGGCUUGUUCCGCCAGUAGUUUCUUACGUGAUCUGAGUUCAAACCG
This 347-nucleotide ribosomal RNA is filed under the name Ophryotrocha clava. Its description in RNAcentral is "partial 16S ribosomal RNA". The stretch from base 41 to 347 matches the Rfam family "Bacterial large subunit ribosomal RNA", at positions 2046 to 2618 of the family's 2925-position model. Lineage: Eukaryota; Metazoa; Annelida; Polychaeta; Eunicida; Dorvilleidae. The record is from RNAcentral.